UGGUAAGGUCACCAGUGCCGGGCGGCACAA
RNAcentral lists this small RNA (30 nucleotides) under Bombyx mori (domestic silkworm). RNAcentral describes it as "ovarian small RNA-35072". The record is from RNAcentral. Lineage: Eukaryota; Metazoa; Arthropoda; Insecta; Lepidoptera; Bombycidae.